RNAcentral lists this ribosomal RNA (1191 nucleotides) under Kytococcus schroeteri. RNAcentral's name for it is "bacterial SSU rRNA". It matches the Rfam family "Bacterial small subunit ribosomal RNA", at positions 106 to 1311 of the family's 1533-position model. Lineage: Bacteria; Bacillati; Actinomycetota; Actinomycetes; Micrococcales; Kytococcaceae. The record is from RNAcentral.
GUGAGUAACACGUGAGUAACCUGCCCAUCACUCUGGGAUAAGCGCUGGAAACGGCGUCUAAUACUGGAUACGACCAACCCUUGCAUGGGGUGUUGGUGGAAAGAUUUAUCGGUGGUGGAUGGACUCGCGUCCUAUCAGCUUGUUGGUGGGGUAAUGGCCUACCAAGGCGACGACGGGUAGCCGGCCUGAGAGGGCGACCGGCCACACUGGGACUGAGACACGGCCCAGACUCCUACGGGAGGCAGCAGUGGGGAAUAUUGCACAAUGGGCGAAAGCCUGAUGCAGCGACGCCGCGUGAGGGAUGACGGCCUUCGGGUUGUAAACCUCUUUCAGCAGGGAAGAAGCUUUUGUGACGGUACCUGCAGAAGAAGCACCGGCUAACUACGUGCCAGCAGCCGCGGUAAUACGUAGGGUGCGAGCGUUGUCCGGAAUUAUUGGGCGUAAAGAGCUUGUAGGCGGUUUGUCGCGUCUGCUGUGAAAAUCUGGGGCUUAACCCUGGACGUGCAGUGGGUACGGGCAGACUAGAGUGUGGUAGGGGAGACUGGAAUUCCUGGUGUAGCGGUGGAAUGCGCAGAUAUCAGGAGGAACACCGAUGGCGAAGGCAGGUCUCUGGGCCAUUACUGACGCUGAGAAGCGAAAGCAUGGGGAGCGAACAGGAUUAGAUACCCUGGUAGUCCAUGCCGUAAACGUUGGGCGCUAGGCGUGGGUCUCAUUCCACGAGAUCCGUGUCGAAGCUAACGCAUUAAGCGCCCCGCCUGGGGAGUACGGCCGCAAGGCUAAAACUCAAAGGAAUUGACGGGGGCCCGCACAAGCGGCGGAGCAUGCUGAUUAAUUCGAUGCAACGCGAAGAACCUUACCAAGGCUUGACAUGCACCGGACAGUCCCAGAGAUGGGAUCUUCUUCGGACUGGUGCACAGGUGGUGCAUGGUUGUCGUCAGCUCGUGUCGUGAGAUGUUGGGUUAAGUCCCGCAACGAGCGCAACCCUCGUUCUAUGUUGCCAGCACGUGAUGGUGGGGACUCAUAGGAGACUGCCGGGGUCAACUCGGAGGAAGGUGGGGAUGACGUCAAAUCAUCAUGCCCCUUAUGUCUUGGGCUUCAAGCAUGCUACAAUGGCCGGUACAGAGGGUUGCGAUGCCGUGAGGUGGAGCGAAUCCCAAAAAACCGGUCUCAGUUCGGAUUGGGGUCUGCAAC